AACAGACCAGCACCACGUCAGAAAAAGUGGUAUGAUCUGUAUCAGAAGAUUGAGAAAUGUCCAAUGCAGCUGAGGGGGCAUAAACCUUUGUUUGGAGGAACACAGACUUGUAGCUGUGGUUUUUAUGCAAGAAAGCCUUCCAUCUCUGUCCCUGUGCCAGAGACACCACAGCCAGGACCGUCAGCAGCAUCCUUUUCUGCAGC
Molecule: long non-coding RNA, 203 nt
Organism: Clarias gariepinus (North African catfish)
Lineage: Eukaryota; Metazoa; Chordata; Actinopteri; Siluriformes; Clariidae
Exons: 3
Source: RefSeq, a predicted model, not a curated record